Molecule: long non-coding RNA, 249 nt
Filed under: Elaeis guineensis (African oil palm)
Lineage: Eukaryota; Viridiplantae; Streptophyta; Magnoliopsida; Arecales; Arecaceae
Description: long non-coding RNA (EGUI_LNC056017)
Source: RNAcentral
GAUUAGUUUCAAUAACUAAUAUUUCAGAUAUACCUUUAGAAGAUCCAUCCUUCUUCCUGCUCUUCACAAUCACCAAGUAGGUCAGAAAGUUUCUCCUCCAGUGGCCUUCGACAUUGUAAUAAAAAUAUUUUUCUUUAUCGUCGGCCUUCUUAGGAACCUUUUUCUUGGGCUUAGCUUCAUUCUUCUACUUCUUUGCAAACUUUUUCUUCUUCUGAAAGAAGCCUGCUCCACAACUAAAACCAUACCCCU